GGAGGGAAGCAAAGAACACCUUUUGCAGGUGGAUAUUACUAUGGAAAAAUCAAGUUUCCUCCGAAAUAUCCAUAUAAGUCUCCUGGAAUCAGCAUGACUACACCUAAUGGACGGUUCAUGACGCAGAAAAAGAUUUGUUUGUCUAUGAGUGAUUUUCAUCUUGAAAGUUGGAAUCCUAUGUGGUCUGUUUCAAGGUCAAAUUGAUUUUAGUUAUGAUGCUUCG
This is a non-coding RNA of Arachis ipaensis, 223 nucleotides long. The record is from RefSeq and is a predicted model, not a curated record. Lineage: Eukaryota; Viridiplantae; Streptophyta; Magnoliopsida; Fabales; Fabaceae.